This 74-nucleotide transfer RNA is filed under the name Candidatus Methanodesulfokora washburnensis. RNAcentral describes it as "tRNA-Phe". It matches the Rfam family "tRNA". Rfam says of the family: Transfer RNA (tRNA) molecules are approximately 80 nucleotides in length. Their secondary structure includes four short double-helical elements and three loops (D, anti-codon, and T loops). The record is from RNAcentral. Lineage: Archaea; Thermoproteati; Thermoproteota; Candidatus Korarchaeia. RNAcentral also lists the same sequence under 1 other name.
GCCGGGGUAGCUCAGACUGGGAGAGCGCCCGGCUGAAGACCGGGCGGUCGUGGGUUCAAAUCCCACCCCCGGCA